RNAcentral lists this ribosomal RNA (82 nucleotides) under Acidimicrobiales bacterium. The record is from RNAcentral. Lineage: Bacteria; Bacillati; Actinomycetota; Acidimicrobiia; Acidimicrobiales.
CUUCCCGACCACGGAAGUUAAGCCCGUUUGCGCCGAUGGUACUUGGGGGGAGACCCCCUGGGAGAGUAGGUCGCCGCCGGUU